AGAAUCCCCGAUAGUUCCAUAAUGUACAGUAUACUGUAUGAAGUGCACUAGGUAGCAUGUGGGAGGCGUUAUAUCCUGCCCUGAGUAGUGUAUUUGUCUAGGGAACAAGGAGGGAAUUGUAUUUCAGCCUCCGUUUUUCAUGGACCGUAUAAGCUGUCUCGACUUGCCCGUACAUGUCCACCGGAAAUGAAUAUUCAUGAGGGCAGAGCGCGAGAUCUGGACACUACAGCAGCAUCGCUAACGGAGAGUUGAUGAAACCGAGUCCAGUGUGUGUGAGAGUGAGGAUUUCACCGACAGUGAACAUUAAAAUGUGUGUAUGGUAUAAUGUUUGAGUUCUUCUGCGAUGGAGGAAAGUUUGUGGUGCGAGAAAACCUCCUCCAGCGUCAUAUCUACUUUACCGGUGUGGAUAAUUGAAUAUGCCUGGACUAACCGGAUGAUGGAGGUGUUACAGGGUAUGUGUUACAGGGUAUGUGUUACAGGGUAUGUGUUACAGGGUACAUGUUACAGGGUAUGUGCUACAUAUGUUUAGUGCCGAAACGAGUGUAUCAGCUACAGCUGUGUUACUGACUUUAGUAUAGGGCUGCACGAUUGUGGCCAAAAUGUUCAUCAUGAUUAUUUUGAUCAACAUUGAGAUCACGAUUCCAUCCAUCUUCUAUACCACUUACUCCUUUUCAGGGUCACGGGGAAACCUGGAGCCUAUCCCAGGGAGCAUCGGGCACAAGGCAGGGUACACCCUGGACAGGGUUUUUUUAAAAUCACGAUUAUUCAUUGAUUUUAGGGACAACAUAUUUUUUU
Long non-coding RNA from Ictalurus punctatus (channel catfish), 795 nucleotides. The record is from Ensembl. NCBI's taxonomy places the organism in Eukaryota, Metazoa, Chordata, Actinopteri, Siluriformes, Ictaluridae.